UACGGGGGGUGCAAGCGUUGUUCGGAAUUACUGGGCGUAAAGCGCACGCAGGCGGAUUCGUAAGUCAAUUGUGAAAGCCCUGGGCUUAACCUAGGAAUUGCAGUUGAAACUGCGGACCUUGAAUACUUGAGAGGAUGACGGAAUUCCUGGUGUAGAAGUGAAAUUCGUAGAUAUCAGGAGGAACACCCGAGGCGAAGGCGGUUAUCUGGCAAGCUAUUGACGCUGAGGUGCGAAAGCGUGGGGAGCAAACAGG
Molecule: ribosomal RNA, 253 nt
Filed under: uncultured bacterium
Lineage: Bacteria
Description: partial 16S ribosomal RNA
Rfam family: Bacterial small subunit ribosomal RNA
Source: RNAcentral